CCUACGGGUGGCAGCAGUGGGGAAUAUUGGACAAUGGGGGGAACCCUGAUGCAGCGACGCCGCGUGAGUGAAGAAGUAUUUCGGUAUGUAAAGCUCUAUCAGCAGGGAAGAAAGAAAUGACGGUACCUGACUAAGAACCGGCGGCAAACUACGUGCCAGCAGCCGCGGUAAUACGUAGGGAGACAGCGUUAUGCGGAUUUACGGGGUGUAAAGGGAGCGUAGACGGCGAUGCAAGUCUGGAGUGAAAGGCGGGGGCCCAACCUCCGGACUGCUUUGGAAACUGUAUGGCUGGAGUGCAGGGGAGGUAAGUGGAAUUCCUAGUGUAGCGGUGAAAUGCGUAGAUAUUAGGAGGAACACCAGUGGCGAAGGCGGCUUACUGGACUGUAACUAACGUUGAGGCUCGAAAGCGUGGGGAGCAAACAGGAUUAGAUACCCGAGUAGUC
RNAcentral lists this ribosomal RNA (443 nucleotides) under uncultured bacterium. Its description in RNAcentral is "partial 16S ribosomal RNA". It matches the Rfam family "Bacterial small subunit ribosomal RNA", at positions 338 to 795 of the family's 1533-position model. The record is from RNAcentral.